UACGUAGGGGGCGAGCGUUGUCCGGAAUCAUUGGGCGUAAAGAGCGUGUAGGCGGCUUGGCAAGUCUGACGUGAAAGCCCGCGGCUCAACCGCGGAUUGUCGUUGGAAACUGCCUCGCUAGAGUCCGGAAGAGGAGAGCGGAAUUCCUGGUGUAGCGGUGGAAUGCGCAGAUAUCAGGAAGAACACCCGUGGCUAAGGCGGUUCUCUAGUACGGUACUGACGCUGAGACGCGAAAGCGUGGGGAGCGAACAGG
This 253-nucleotide ribosomal RNA is filed under the name uncultured bacterium. RNAcentral's name for it is "partial 16S ribosomal RNA". It matches the Rfam family "Bacterial small subunit ribosomal RNA", at positions 524 to 776 of the family's 1533-position model. The record is from RNAcentral.